This 253-nucleotide ribosomal RNA is filed under the name uncultured bacterium. RNAcentral describes it as "partial 16S ribosomal RNA". It matches the Rfam family "Bacterial small subunit ribosomal RNA", at positions 524 to 776 of the family's 1533-position model. The record is from RNAcentral.
UACGUAGGGGGCAAGCGUUGUCCGGAUUUAUUGGGCGUAAAGAGCGUGUAGGCGGCUAGGUAGGUCCGUUGUGAAAACUCGAGGCUCAACCUCGAGACGCCGAUGGAAACCAUCUGGCUAGAGUCCGGAAGAGGAGAGUGGAAUUCCUGGUGUAGCGGUGAAAUGCGCAGAUAUCAGGAAGAACACCCGUGGCUAAGGCGGCUCUCUAGUACGGUACUGACGCUGAGGAGCGAAAGCGUGGGGAGCGAACAGG